CCUACGGGUGGCAGCAGUGAGGAAUAUUGGUCAAUGGGCGCGAGCCUGAACCAGCGAAGUAGCGUGAAGGAUGACUGCCCUUCGGGUUGUAAACUUCUUUUAUAAAGGAAUAAAGUGAGGCACGUGUGCCUUUUUGUAUGUACUUUGUGAAUACUGAUCGGCUAACUCCGUGCCUGCAGACGCGGUAAUCCGUGGGCUCCGAGCGUUAGCCGGAUUUAUUGGGUUUAAAGGGAGCGUAGAUGGUUUGUUAAGUCAGUUGUGAAAGUUUGGGGCUCAACCGUAAAAUUGCAAUUGAUACUGUCAGCCUUGAGUACAGUUGAGGUAAGCGGAAUUCGUGGUGUAGCGGUGAAAUGCUUAGAUAUCACGAAGAACUCCGAUUGCGAAGGCAGCCUACUAAACUGCCACUGACAUUGAUGCUCGAAAGUGUGGGUAUCAAACAGGAUUAGAUACCCGAGUAGUC
Molecule: ribosomal RNA, 460 nt
Filed under: uncultured bacterium
Lineage: Bacteria
Description: partial 16S ribosomal RNA
Rfam family: Bacterial small subunit ribosomal RNA
Source: RNAcentral